GACGAACGCUGGCGGCGUGCUUAACACAUGCAAGUCGAACGAAGGGGCGAACGGGUGAGUAACGCAUAAUCAACCUGCCCUUCAGAGGGGGACAACAGUUGGAAACGACUGCUUAUACCACAUAACGAAGUAGGGGAUUGCGUCUGAUUAGCUAGUUGGAGGGAUAGCGGCCCACCAAGCCGAUGAACAGUAACCGUUAUGCGAGGAUGAACGGCCGCCUUGGGAUUGAGACAGGGCCCAGACGCAUAUGCGAGACAGCAGUGGGGAAUCGUCCGCAGUGGACGAAAGUCUGACGGGGCAACGCCGCGUGAGUGAUGACGGCAUUCGGGUUGUAGAGCUCUGUUAUUCUGGACGCGGUACCGGAAUAGAAAGCCACGGCUAACUACGUGCCAGCAGCCGCGGUAAUAC
Molecule: ribosomal RNA, 408 nt
Filed under: uncultured bacterium
Lineage: Bacteria
Description: partial 16S ribosomal RNA
Rfam family: Bacterial small subunit ribosomal RNA
Source: RNAcentral